RNAcentral lists this ribosomal RNA (365 nucleotides) under Cryptosporidium galli. Its description in RNAcentral is "bacterial SSU rRNA". It matches the Rfam family "Eukaryotic small subunit ribosomal RNA", at positions 520 to 927 of the family's 1831-position model. The record is from RNAcentral. Lineage: Eukaryota; Apicomplexa; Conoidasida; Eucoccidiorida; Cryptosporidiidae.
GUAAAGUAUAAACCCCUUUACSAGUAUCAAUUGGAGGGCAAGUCUGGUGCCAGCAGCCGCGGUAAUUCCAGCUCCAAUAGCGUAUAUUAAAGUUGUUGCAGUUAAAAAGCUCGUAGUUGGAUUUCUGUUGCAUCAUUAUAUUAUCACUAAGGKAAUAAUAUAAUAUCAACAUCCUCCCUNNUUAUAUCUAAUAUAGAGGGAAUUUUACUUUGAGAAAAUUAGAGUGCUUAAAGCAGGCAACUGCCUUGAAUACUCCAGCAUGGAAUAAUAAGCAAGGACUUUUGUCUUUCUUAUUGGUUCUAGGACAAAAGUAAGGGUUAAUAGGGACAGUUGGGGGCAUUCGUAUUUAACAGUUAGAGGUGAAA